Non-coding RNA from Homo sapiens (human), 117 nucleotides. It matches the Rfam family "Metazoan signal recognition particle RNA". From Rfam's summary of the family: The signal recognition particle (SRP) is a universally conserved ribonucleoprotein. It is involved in the co-translational targeting of proteins to membranes. Lineage: Eukaryota; Metazoa; Chordata; Mammalia; Primates; Hominidae. The record is from Rfam.
GCCGGGCAUGAUGGCUCAUGCCUGUAAUCCCAGCACUUUGGGAGGCCGAGGCGGGUGGAUCACCUGAGGUCAGGAGUUCGAGACCAGCCUGGCCAACAUGGUGAAACCCCAUCUCUA